This 448-nucleotide ribosomal RNA is filed under the name uncultured bacterium. RNAcentral's name for it is "bacterial SSU rRNA". It matches the Rfam family "Bacterial small subunit ribosomal RNA", at positions 329 to 792 of the family's 1533-position model. The record is from RNAcentral.
GGCCAGACUCCUACGGGAGGCAGCAGUGGGGAAUAUUGCACAAUGGGCGAAGGCCUGAUGCAGCAACGCCGCGUGAAGGAAGAAGGCCUUCGGGUCGUAAACUUCUGUCCUUGGGGAAGAAGAACUGACGGUACCCAAGGAGGAAGCCCCGGCUAACUACGUGCCAGCAGCCGCGGUAAUACGUAGGUGGCAAGCGUUGUCCGGAUUUACUGGGUGUAAAGGGCGUGUAGCCGGGCUGACAAGUCAGAUGUGAAAUUCCGGGGCUCAACCCCGGACCUGCAUUUGAAACUGUUGGUCUUGAGUAUCGGAGAGGCAGGCGGAAUUCCUAGUGUAGCGGUGAAAUGCGUAGAUAUUAGGAGGAACACCAGUGGCGAAGGCGGCCUGCUGGACGACAACUGACGGUGAGGCGCGAAAGCGUGGGGAGCAAACAGGAUUAGAUACCCCGGUA